AUUUAAGAGAGUUUGAUCCUGGCUCAGGAUGAACGCUGGCGGCGUGGAUAAGGCAUGCAAGUCAAACGGAUAUUUAUUUGUAGCAAUACAGAUGAAUAUUAGUGGCGAACGAGUUAGUAUUACCUUGGAACGUACUCCGAAGACGGGGAUAACUAGUCGAAAGAUUAGCUAAUACCCGAUAGUACAGCAAUGUUAAAGACGCAAGUCACUUCGGAAGCGGCCUAGGUCCUAUCAGCUUGUUGGUGAGGUAAUGGCUCACCAAGGCUAUGACGGGUAGGGGGUGUGAGAGCACGUCCCCCAACGAUGAAACUGCGAUACGGUUCAUACACCUACGGGUGGCUGCAGUCGAGAAUAUUCGACAAUGGGCGAAAGCCUGAUCGAGCGACGCCGCGUGCGGGAAGAAGUGCUUCGGCAUGUAAACCGCUUUUGCGUGGGAGUAAUUUUGAAAGUACCACGAGAAUAAGGGGUU
This 469-nucleotide ribosomal RNA is filed under the name bacterium. Its description in RNAcentral is "bacterial SSU rRNA". It matches the Rfam family "Bacterial small subunit ribosomal RNA", at positions 1 to 495 of the family's 1533-position model. The record is from RNAcentral.